CAAGAGCUAAACAUAAGCUCGAUAUUGCUCGGGUCCUGCUAACGAGGUACACCUUACUUUUCUGAUUCUGAGCGGUCUUACAAGUUCGUUCCUGGCUUCGUUACGCUGGAGAAGAGUGUAUUUCGUGUAUUCUGCAAGUAUUCCACAAUUCCGUUGAAUCUACCAGUGAUGUUCGAUAGACUCGAAGUUGUUUGUGAACUUCGGAACCGGUUACUGAAACCAAUAAGCUUCACUGAAACUCUUUCGAGGAACCUGGAAUUCGGACGUGGAAAUUUCAAUCAGAAUGAAGUAAUCUACCAUUAGUGACAAGUGAAACCUUAUUCAAUCCAGACAGAAUCCAGGUGUGUCAAGAAAGAUGAAUAAAGAAAAAUAUGGCUAUGCGAAGUAAAGAUGUGCAGAGCGCGCCUUCAGACGAUGGUUGAGGAGGACCCAUUAGGAAUACUAUCUUCAAAAGGGGAACGUAUUCACAGAGCUGAUUUGCAUAAAGUGAAGUCCAAACAAGAAACUGAGAGAGUUGAUUGCGACAAUAUUCUUUAAAAGAUGAGGCAUUGGCAAGACCCCCAGAAAUAGUUUAUUACAGUAAUAAAGUAUUCGUCGGUGGCAACAGCAGGGUGUUAGGUCAAAUAUUUCUAAUUGAAAUAUGGAGUAUUUCAGAGAGGACUUCAACUGGCAUGACUAAACUAACACUAUUGUUAGUUUUUCAUAAUGCCGUACAAAACUCGACUACGUGCCAACAUCCGAAUAUAUGGAAAUUAAUAAAUAUACCAAGGUUGAAGGAGAUUUUGGCGCAUCAAAAGUUUUAUUUGGAACGGGAAGGGAAAGUUAUUUUAAAGCUGGUUUGCAAUGUGUGCAAAAAGCUGCUGAUAUCUUUGCUUGAAAAUGAUUCAUGCCAAAAUGCCUUAAAAGCUGUGGAAGGCUGUCAUAUAAACUGAAUUAUUUUAGUCAAUUCCGUUUUAUUUUCUUUAAUUCUUUUAGUUUUCAUUGACCCCCCAAAAAGGUUGUUUAUAAAUUUUUUUUCUUUCAAAAUUAAAUCCUCAAUUUAUAUAUGGUAGUUGUCCUAAUCAGUUAGUUGUCCUAAUCAGUUAGUUGUCCUGGCACGAGGCUUUUUAACUAAAGGAGUGUUAACCCCUCUGCCUUAAGAUUUAAGUCGGUGAUUUAAGUGAAUAUUCAGAUCUGUUAAGUCUCGACGUAUUAGCUUUUUGAAUACAAACAUCAUGGUUUUUAUGAAUUGGUUAUGGUGUUUUACACUUGCCAAAAUUUUUAUAGUAAUACCAAAAAGAAUUUCCUUUGGUCGGAUUUGAUCUGACGUUUGUGCUAGGGUGAUUAAAUUUGAGACAGAGAAGGGACUCUUAAAAAGGGAACAAAAUUCCUAAGUCUUGGCUUAAAAGUUAGCGAUCUUCAUACGCAUUUAUAUGUAUACAUAUAAAUAAAAUCCUCUUAAUAAAAUCCUAUAGUACUAAA
Long non-coding RNA from Macrobrachium nipponense, 1461 nucleotides. RefSeq lists it as uncharacterized. The transcript is spliced from 3 exons. The record is from RefSeq and is a predicted model, not a curated record. Lineage: Eukaryota; Metazoa; Arthropoda; Malacostraca; Decapoda; Palaemonidae.